This 1412-nucleotide ribosomal RNA is filed under the name Kribbella sp. R-Ac011. RNAcentral describes it as "bacterial SSU rRNA". It matches the Rfam family "Bacterial small subunit ribosomal RNA". Lineage: Bacteria; Bacillati; Actinomycetota; Actinomycetes; Propionibacteriales; Kribbellaceae. The record is from RNAcentral.
GGCGUGCUUAACACAUGCAAGUCGAGCGGUAAGGCCCCUUCGGGGGUACACGAGCGGCGAACGGGUGAGUAACACGUGAGCAACCUACCCUCAACUUUGGGAUAAGCCUCGGAAACGGGGUCUAAUACCGGAUAAUACUACGAGCCUCAUGGUUUGUGGUUGAAAGUUCUGGCGGUUGGGGAUGGGCUCGCGGCCUAUCAGCUUGUUGGUGGGGUAAUGGCCUACCAAGGCGUCGACGGGUAGCCGGCCUGAGAGGGCGACCGGCCACACUGGGACUGAGACACGGCCCAGACUCCUACGGGAGGCAGCAGUGGGGAAUAUUGCGCAAUGGACGAAAGUCUGACGCAGCAACGCCGCGUGAGGGAUGACGGCCUUCGGGUUGUAAACCUCUUUCAGCAGGGACGAAGCGAGAGUGACGGUACCUGCAGAAGAAGGACCGGCCAACUACGUGCCAGCAGCCGCGGUAAUACGUAGGGUCCGAGCGUUGUCCGGAAUUAUUGGGCGUAAAGGGCUCGUAGGCGGUUCGUCACGUCGGGAGUGAAAACUCGGGGCUUAACCCCGAGCCUGCUUCCGAUACGGGCAGACUAGAGGUAGGCAGGGGAGAGCGGAACUCCUGGUGUAGCGGUGGAAUGCGCAGAUAUCAGGAAGAACACCGGUGGCGAAGGCGGCUCUCUGGGCCUUACCUGACGCUGAGGAGCGAAAGCGUGGGUAGCGAACAGGAUUAGAUACCCUGGUAGUCCACGCCGUAAACGUUGGGCGCUAGGUGUGGGGGACAUUCCACGUCCUCCGUGCCGCAGCUAACGCAUUAAGCGCCCCGCCUGGGGAGUACGGCCGCAAGGCUAAAACUCAAAGGAAUUGACGGGGGCCCGCACAAGCGGCGGAGCAUGCGGAUUAAUUCGAUGCAACGCGAAGAACCUUACCUGGGUUUGACAUAUAGGGAAAUCUCGCAGAGAUGCGGGGUCCGUAAGGGUCCUAUACAGGUGGUGCAUGGCUGUCGUCAGCUCGUGUCGUGAGAUGUUGGGUUAAGUCCCGCAACGAGCGCAACCCUCGUCCUAUGUUGCCAGCACGUCCUUCGGGAUGGUGGGGACUCAUAGGAGACUGCCGGGGUCAACUCGGAGGAAGGUGGGGAUGACGUCAAGUCAUCAUGCCCCUUAUGUCCAGGGCUUCACGCAUGCUACAAUGGCCGGUACAAAGGGCUGCGAAACUGUAAGGUGGAGCGAAUCCCAAAAAGCCGGUCUCAGUUCGGAUUGGGGUCUGCAACUCGACCCCAUGAAGUCGGAGUCGCUAGUAAUCGCAGAUCAGCAACGCUGCGGUGAAUACGUUCCCGGGCCUUGUACACACCGCCCGUCACGUCAUGAAAGUCGGCAACACCCGAAGCCGGUGGCCUAACCCUUGUGGAGGGAGCCGUGCAA